GYUACUKCWWCSCCGUMGGAUAGGCGCGGCCUUCGGGACAGAGGAGACAGGUGGUGCAUGGUUGUCGUCAGCUCGUGUCGUGAGAUGUUGGGUUAAGUCCCGCAACGAGCGCAACCCUUGACUUUAGUUGCCAGCAGGUMAAGCUGGGCACUCUAGAGUGACUGCCGGUGACAAACCGGAGGAAGGUGGGGAUGACGUCAAAUCAUCAUGCCCCUUAUGACCUGGGCUACACACGUACUACAAUGGCCGGUACAACGGGAAGCGAAGCCGCGAGGCGGAGCCAAUCUUAUAAAGCCGGUCUCAGUUCGGAUUGCAGGCUGCAACUCGCCUGCAUGAAGUCGGAAUUGCUAGUAAUCGCGGAUCAGCAUGCCGCGGUGAAUACGUUCCCGGGUCUUGUACACACCGA
Molecule: ribosomal RNA, 406 nt
Filed under: Paenibacillus sabinae
Lineage: Bacteria; Bacillati; Bacillota; Bacilli; Caryophanales; Paenibacillaceae
Description: bacterial SSU rRNA
Rfam family: Bacterial small subunit ribosomal RNA
Source: RNAcentral